GUUGUUGCAAUAGUAAUCCUGCUCAGUACGAGAGGAACCGCAGGUUCAGACAUUUGGUGCGUGUGCUUGGCUGAGGAGCCAAUGGUGCGAAGCUACCAUCUGUGGGAUUAUGACUGAACGCCUCUAAGUCAGAAUCCCGCCUAAACGCAACGAU
Lepisosteus oculatus (spotted gar) is the source of this 154-nucleotide ribosomal RNA. It matches the Rfam family "Eukaryotic large subunit ribosomal RNA", at positions 3007 to 3161 of the family's 3401-position model. Lineage: Eukaryota; Metazoa; Chordata; Actinopteri; Semionotiformes; Lepisosteidae. The record is from Rfam.